Molecule: ribosomal RNA, 552 nt
Filed under: uncultured archaeon
Lineage: Archaea
Description: bacterial SSU rRNA
Rfam family: Archaeal small subunit ribosomal RNA
Source: RNAcentral
ACGGGGUGCAGCAGGCGCGAAAACUUGUCAAUGCACGAAAGUGUGAACGGGCUACCCCGAGUGCCGUCCGCUGAGGAUGGCUUUUCUCUGCUGUAAGAAGGCGGAGGAAUAAGGAGAGGGCAAGUCUGGUGUCAGCCGCCGCGGUAAUACCAGCUCUCCGAGUGGUAGGGAUGAUUAUUGGGCCUAAAGCGUUCGUAGCCGGCCUUCCAAGUCUUUCGUUAAAUCCAGCGAUUCAAUCGUUGGACUGCGGGAGAUACUGUUAGGCUAGGGGGCGGGAGAAGCCGACGGUAUUUCUGGGGUAGGGGUAAAAUCCUAUAAUCCCAGGAAGACCACCAGUGGCGUAGGCGGUCGGCUAGCACGCGCUCGACGGUGAGGGACGAAAGCUGGGGGAGCAAACCGGAUUAGAUACCCGGGUAGUCCCAGCUGUAAACGAUGCGGGCUAGGUGUUGAAGCGGCUACGAGCCGCUUCAGUGCCGCAGGGAAGCCAUUAAGCCCGCCGCCUGGGGAGUACGGUCGCAAGGCUGAAACUUAAAGGAAUUGGCGGGGGAGCAC